This 1039-nucleotide long non-coding RNA is filed under the name Chloebia gouldiae (Gouldian finch). RNAcentral's name for it is "Erythrura gouldiae (Gouldian finch) lncRNA (ENSEGOG00005009585.1)". The record is from RNAcentral. Lineage: Eukaryota; Metazoa; Chordata; Aves; Passeriformes; Passeridae.
GCUUACUAGAAACUUAUAGUUAUUUGGGAGAGGUUCAUUGGUGUGUACAAUGGAGUGGAAAGAAGAAUCAAACUCAUACAAGUGUAAUGAAUUUACAGACUACUGAAAGGAGAAUGAAAGAUCAGAAGGAAAUGUGGAAGUGUACUCAAGUAAUAACUUGUGAUACACCCGAGACACAAAUAGGACUAGUACCUGUCAGGGUUCUACUGAAAUGGGGAUGUGAGUGUAGGGGAUAUAAUCAUACUAUCAGAGAAGCAAGUGGGAAACGGAUUAUUUGUUGCAAAUCUACCACAAUAAGAAGUCCAGGAAAUUUAGUAUGGGUAAUGGGGCAUGGGGAAUGGACUACUCACAUACCUAUCGAUGGACCAGUUACUCAAAUUACGUUAGGAAUCCCAACCUUAUGCCCACUGUGGAAACAAUCGGAAUUGAAGGGAAAAGUUAAGAGAGAUUUAGAUGAGAAGGACCAAUGGCAUGAACCAGAAAGUGGAGUAAAAUUUGGGUGGGCAUUAGAAUCCCUCUUUUCACCAGUUGCAGCUUAUCGGAACAGAGACAUGCUUUAUAAGCUAAUGGGACAGACAGAAAGGUUAGCAGCCACUACUAGGAAAGGGUUUAGAGAUUUAAAUCUCCAAUUACAAGCCACUAGUAGAAUGGCUUUACAAAAUCGGAUGGCACUAGACCUAAUAUUACUAAAAGAACAUGGAGUAUGCGGCUACUUAAGUCAGAAAAUUGACCAUUGCUGUAUCCAUAUCCCAAAUGUACCGGUCAGCGUAGAACAAGACAUAUCCCAAUUGGAAAGGGUGGAAGACGAAACUCGGGGAUUAGAACGUCAGGCAGAACAUAAUUGGAUUGGGGAAAUAUUCAGUUCUAUGGGGCUCCAGGUCUCUGGAUGGAUCUCGUCAAUAAUCCAAUAUUCAAUAAUGUUUGUAAUCCUAAUUUUAAUUGUGCUAGGAACUUAUAGGUGUUUCCUAGGAGCCAUUAGCAAAGAACGCUCUCACACGCGAAGACUGAUUAACGCGAUGACAAGGAGCACGACACCCCC